UUGACUGCCCUGGAAUCUGAGCUCUUCCUCCAUAAAGCAGGGUCACAGUCAACAGCAGCGUAAACUUCUCUUCCCUGCCAAUGUGCCACAACCCUCACCUGGAGGGACCGCAUAUAAGGGUGACAUAAUAGCUCUGUUUCUAUUCAGUGUUUGGUUUCU
Molecule: small RNA, 159 nt
Filed under: Chrysemys picta bellii (western painted turtle)
Lineage: Eukaryota; Metazoa; Chordata; Testudines; Emydidae
Description: TUC338 (ENSCPBG00000024821.1)
Source: RNAcentral